UGGCUCAGAUGGUAAAGCGUCUGUCUAUAAAGCAGGAGACCCGGGUUUGAUCCCUGG
This 57-nucleotide transfer RNA is filed under the name Capra hircus (goat). It matches the Rfam family "tRNA", at positions 8 to 63 of the family's 71-position model. Rfam says of the family: Transfer RNA (tRNA) molecules are approximately 80 nucleotides in length. Their secondary structure includes four short double-helical elements and three loops (D, anti-codon, and T loops). Lineage: Eukaryota; Metazoa; Chordata; Mammalia; Artiodactyla; Bovidae. The record is from Rfam by way of RNAcentral. RNAcentral also lists the same sequence under 1 other name.